RNAcentral lists this ribosomal RNA (253 nucleotides) under uncultured bacterium. Its description in RNAcentral is "partial 16S ribosomal RNA". It matches the Rfam family "Bacterial small subunit ribosomal RNA", at positions 524 to 776 of the family's 1533-position model. The record is from RNAcentral.
UACGUAGGGUGCGAGCGUUGUCCGGAAUUAUUGGGCGUAAAGAGCUCGUAGGCGGUUUGUUGCGUCGGCCGUGAAAACCUGCAGCUUAACUGUGGGCCUGCGGCCGAUACGGGCAGACUUGAGUUCGGUAGGGGAGACUGGAAUUCCUGGUGUAGCGGUGAAAUGCGCAGAUAUCGGGAGGAACACCGGCGGCGAAGGCGGCACUCUGGGCCGGUACUGACGCUGAGGCGCGAAAGCCAGGGGAGCAAACGGG